This 889-nucleotide ribosomal RNA is filed under the name Triticum aestivum (bread wheat). RNAcentral's name for it is "partial small subunit ribosomal RNA". The record is from RNAcentral. Lineage: Eukaryota; Viridiplantae; Streptophyta; Magnoliopsida; Poales; Poaceae.
GGGCAUAACAACAAACACGCGUAGUGCACUUAGUUACAACAUAAUAUAUCCAGUUUUUUACCUUCUCGCAAGGUCUGUCCUUGCAUCACAGUAGCAAGUAUAAUUGGGACAACUUGCAGAAGCUGGUAGCUGGACCUUCCAAGAGGAUGAGUGCCUGCACAACGACCACCUAGAGAAGAAAACUGACAGGGAAGGGAAUGUGAGGGAGGACGCAGUCGUGGAUGCGUCGUGCUCGGGGAUGUAUGAGCUCGCCGGAGACAGCACCGUCUCCAUGAGCAUGACAUGCGUCCUGAAGGAGCCGUCCUGCUGCUAUUGCACGAAGUGGACUACAACGACCCCUUGACACAUGCGCGAGUAUGAGUGAGCAGCAGGACGGGCCGGGGGUAUUGGCUGGGAAGCGGAGGAGCAUAGUCGAAUGACGGUGACGACCGGAGAAGGACGGGGACACAUGCAUAGCUUGAACUUCUAUCGCCAGAUGGACCGAUGCAGCAAGAGCCAGGUCGCAGCGGUGGUGCAGAGGCAGGUCAGCGGCUAUAGAAGCUGUGGGCGGCGGCGGCCGGCGUUGGGAGGCGCGCGACGAGAAGGUGUUGGGCGGUGGAGUGGGGGCCGUCGACGGCGGGAGGCGCGUCAGGAACCAGGGGCGGCGGCGCGCCAGGAGGAGGUGGAGGCGGCGGCCUCGCGCUAGAGGUGUCUGGGCGGCGGCGCGCCAGGAGGAGGUGGGGGCGGCGGCCUCGUGCAGGAGGUGUCGGGGCGUCGGUGCGCCCGGAGGAGGCGGGGCCGGCGGCAAGCCCAGAUAGAGGUGGGGCGGCGGCGUCGCGCCCGGAAGGAGGCGGGGGCGGGAGGCGCACAGGGCGGCCGGAGGUAGGGGGGGUGGGGGAGGUGGGCGACA